Molecule: long non-coding RNA, 868 nt
Filed under: Gossypium barbadense (sea-island cotton)
Lineage: Eukaryota; Viridiplantae; Streptophyta; Magnoliopsida; Malvales; Malvaceae
Description: long non-coding RNA (GBAR_LNC006339)
Source: RNAcentral
UUUCUUCAGUUUGUUGGUUUCUAUCAUAUUUAGCUAAACCUAAUUUUACCGUUUCUCUCAUCACCUGCUUUGCCUUUGCUUUCUCUCAUCGCUGAUUGCUCACUCAAUGUUCCUUUCAUAUUUAGCUAAACCUAAUUUUAAUGGAGCUUGUGGCGUUUCAGUGAUCAUCCACAUCAUAUAUAUUUCAAAUCUGUUUUAACAAUUUCAUGGCGACAAGAAAGAUGAAGUUGCCGCAAUUGGUGGCACAAAAACCAGAAAUGGAGAAGGCUUCGAAAGCAGAGUUUAAAGAAAACGGCGAAUGCUUGAGAGAGGAGCAAGCGCAAAAUUUGAAGAGAUCGAAAGAGGAUGCAAUCAACUGAAACAAGAAACCUAAACGCUGACGAAACAAUCAGCCAUGACUCAAAUCAGGCUCGCUCUCAUCUUCAAUAUCUCCAAAGCCCCACAAGGUGGAUAUCUCGUUGAAGCCUGUAAGCACUUUCACUUCCUUAGCUUCUCUUACAAUAAAUUAAAAAAGAGAAACUGGUGAUCCUAAUUUGUUUCUACAUUUUAAAUUUUGCUGGCUUGCAGUGAAGUUGUUGCCGAAAAUGAAAACACAGAGAAGGAAAACAGGCGGACAGCAGCAACCCAGAAAACAUGUAGGCAGGUCUCAUGUUUGUAGAUAGUAACAUAAAUAGUACUUGAAAAACAUGUAUUAUCUUUUCGGUUUUGUGUAUUCAAAUCGAAUUUUCAAUCACUUGUAAAACAUGUAAUGCCCAUUGAUUUGAAAUAAUAUACAACAUAUUAAUAGUAGGAUUGUUUCUGUUAAAAACGGUACAAAAUAUCACUUCAUCUUUGAAGUUUUCCUAUGAUUAUAUGUUCCAGGUUUACG